This 253-nucleotide ribosomal RNA is filed under the name uncultured bacterium. Its description in RNAcentral is "partial 16S ribosomal RNA". It matches the Rfam family "Bacterial small subunit ribosomal RNA", at positions 524 to 776 of the family's 1533-position model. The record is from RNAcentral.
GACGAACCGUGCGAACGUUGUUCGGAAUUACUGGGCGUAAAGGGCGCGUAGGCGGCCAACUAAGUCGGAUGUGAAAUCCCCAGGCUCAACUUGGGAACUGCAUCCGAUACUGGUCGGCUUGAAUCCGGGAGAGGGAUGCAGAAUUCCAGGUGUAGCGGUGAAAUGCGUAGAUAUCUGGAGGAAUACCGGUGGCGAAGGCGGCAUCCUGGACCGGCAUUGACGCUGAUGUGCGAAAGCUAGGGGAGCAAACGGG